RNAcentral lists this long non-coding RNA (676 nucleotides) under Pan troglodytes (chimpanzee). RNAcentral describes it as "lincRNA". The record is from RNAcentral. Lineage: Eukaryota; Metazoa; Chordata; Mammalia; Primates; Hominidae.
CUCUCCGUCCCCGGCUCCGCCAGCAGCAGUCCCGGAGAGAUUUCCCCUCCCCGCCGCCCGCACUCUCUCUCCUCCUGCGCCCAGGCCGGUCUCCGGCUCCGGAUCCGGGCGGCGACGGUGCAGAUGAGGGCGCACAGGGGACGGUCCUGGAGCCCGGGAAGGGUGCGAGAUGGAGACGGCGGUUCAGAAAAGUUGUCAGGUCUCCAGCGCGGGCAGUGGCGGGAGCUGGAGCCGCGGUGGAGACGACCCGAGGGGACGCAGCCCGCCUGGCACAAAGGGCCACGGGCGCGAGGGACUCGAUGAGCUGGGAGGACGCGGCCGCGGCAGGUGCGGCGCGCUGGGGCGGGUGCUUGGCGCCUUCCCCGGCACAGGACAUACUUUAUUCAGCUGGGUGCUGAAAAAGAAUCUUGGAAAUUAGGAAACUGAAUGAGGCCUCAUUUCACACUCAGAAUGUGGGUUGCAAUAGUCACUUCCUCUGCUGCUGGGAAAGAAAGAAUUAUACUACCUUUUGAAUUUUGGAUUAAGGAGAGAGGUGUUGGCUUGUCAAACUACCAUGUAUUCCUCAAGACAUAUUUUUGUGGCUUUAUAAAAUUCAAUAUAUAUUUCUAAAUUCAAAUAUAUUUUGUUGCAAUCUGGCCCUUGGACAAACUGAGGCCCUAGCAACUGAUGUGUAUGG